UAGCCGUAAACGAUACUCGCUAGGUGUCGGCCACGGUGCGACCGUUGUCGGUGCCGUAGGGAAGCCGUGAAGCGAGCCACCUGGGAAGUACGGCCGCAAGGCUGAAACUUAAAGGAAUUGGCGGGGGGAGGCACCACAACGGGUGGAGCUUGCGGUUUAAUUGGAUUCAACGCCGGAAAUCUUUACCGGGACCGACAGCAACAUGAAGGCCAGGCUGAAGACUUUGCCGGAUUAGCUGAGAGGAGGUGCAUGGCGUAGUCGUGU
Molecule: ribosomal RNA, 264 nt
Filed under: uncultured archaeon
Lineage: Archaea
Description: partial 16S ribosomal RNA
Rfam family: Archaeal small subunit ribosomal RNA
Source: RNAcentral